GGAAUUUCCGAAGAUCCGCCUUGGUCGUGGUGAGGUAGCUUGCUUCGGAUCGUUCGCGCUCUCGCGCACUGACCCUGGGAAGGAAUCGGACUCGUCCACACGGGACGUGAGAGGGAAUGUUUCUUUACAUCUAUGUGUGAAAUACUUUGGCAAUGCAUGAUCCGCACCAACAAUUUACCUGCUACGACUACGGGAAAAACUCCUCCUCCGUGGAGAUCUACAAUCAAAAAAAGAAAGGUGAGUCUUUUCAUCAAUUCAACACAACUGAGGUGAGGUAAUUCCCAACUUGUCAAGUCACUGUUGGGCCCAGUGAAUGUGCCAAGAUAAAUGGCACCCAUCGUCCAGCAAAAUGGAAAGAUUCAGGCAUUAAAAAGACUCAGCGUGAUCAGCAUGUUUCCAGCCAUGAGUUUGUUUUAACUAAUACCAUGUCAUAGCAAACCUGUCUCCAAUGCAGCACUUCCAUCUCAACAAAAUCCACUGCCUAAAAGACUAUACCAAAGUCCCAUAAGUAGUUCCAAAAUUGGUAUAACUAGUGUUUUGGAACCCAUGCAAGGCAGAGUACCAAGUGAAAGACUAAUGCACAGUGACAAUGACUCAUUAGAGCUGCAUCUGUGAAUGUAAUUUUUAAAAGGUCAUAGUGUUUAGUCUAAAGAACCUUAGCUUGCCCAGUUUAUCCCAUAAAGUAAUUGUUCUGAAAUAGUUAGUAAAACAAUUUAAAGGUGAAAGGAGGUAGCAGUUUUUUUGCAAGGAAAACCAGUUAGCAAUUAAGUUUGCCCAACUCACAUGCAAAUAUACUGCAGCUUAGUUAUUUAUAUUAGAUUCCUUAACACCCUUAAAAGUUUUAUUCAAGCAACAUAUGUAUGUUACCACGAAAUUAUGCACAGCCAGCCU
Molecule: non-coding RNA, 891 nt
Organism: Notechis scutatus (mainland tiger snake)
Lineage: Eukaryota; Metazoa; Chordata; Lepidosauria; Squamata; Elapidae
Source: RefSeq, a predicted model, not a curated record